GUAAUCGUCAUUGCUGGGGAGCAUGCCUUUGUCAGACACAGGGUAGCUCUGUGGGAUUCCCAUAUGUGUUUUGUCAAAGCCGUGGUAGGUAGCAUCAUUAUGACUUUAGGUCUGAUGGGGGCGGGAUCGACAUGACCGAUAAAAAGUGGUGCCCUGGAGUUAUUGCUGACUCCAGCCCCACCCACUGUGGUUGUUGCUCCUGGGUUUGUGCUAUGAUGAUGGGGUUAAUGUUAGCUGCAUGGUAGUAAUGGUGUAUAUUGG
Molecule: non-coding RNA, 261 nt
Organism: Pelobates cultripes (western spadefoot toad)
Lineage: Eukaryota; Metazoa; Chordata; Amphibia; Anura; Pelobatidae
Source: the annotation of a GenBank genome assembly